Molecule: ribosomal RNA, 491 nt
Filed under: uncultured bacterium
Lineage: Bacteria
Description: partial 16S ribosomal RNA
Rfam family: Bacterial small subunit ribosomal RNA
Source: RNAcentral
GAUGAACGCUAGCUACAGGCUUAACACAUGCAAGUCGAGGGGAAACGAUGAGAGAGCUUGCUCUCUUAGUCGUCGACCGGCGCACGGGUGAGUAACGCGUAUCCAACCUGCCUCUGACCAAGGUAUAACCCGUCGAAAGUCGGACUAAUACCUUAUGCAGUCGUCGGAAGUCAUCUGAUGACGACGAAAGAUUUCAUCGGUGAGAGAUGGGUAUGCGUCUGAUUAGCUUGUUGGCGGGGUAACGGCCCACCAAGGCGACGAUCAGUAGGGGUUCUGAGAGGAAGGUCCCCCACAGUGGAACUGAGACACGGGCCAAACUCCUACGGGAGGCAGCAGUGAGGAAGAUUGGUGAAUGGGAGUAAGCCUGAACCAGCCAAGUAGCGUGCAGGAUGACGGCCCUAUGGGUUGUAAACUGCUUUUAGGCGGGGAUAAAGUGAGGGACGUGUCCUUCAUUGCAGGUACCGCAUGAAUAAGGACCGGCUAAUUCCGUG